GCCGGCGGCCUACACAUGCAAGUCGAGCGGUAGCACAGAGAGCUUGCUCUCGGGUGACGAGCGGCGGACGGGUGAGUAAUGUCUGGGAAACUGCCUGAUGGAGGGGGAUAACUACUGGAAACGGUAGCUAAUACCGCAUAAUGUCGCAAGACCAAAGUGGGGGACCUUCGGGCCUCAUGCCAUCAGAUGUGCCCAGAUGGGAUUAGCUAGUAGGUGGGGUAACGGCUCACCUAGGCGACGAUCCCUAGCUGGUCUGAGAGGAUGACCAGCCACACUGGAACUGAGACACGGUCCAGACUCCUACGGGAGGCAGCAGUGGGGAAUAUUGCACAAUGGGCGCAAGCCUGAUGCAGCCAUGCCGCGUGUGUGAAGAAGGCCUUCGGGUUGUAAAGCACUUUCAGCGGGGAGGAAGGCGUUAAGGUUAAUAACCUUGKCGAUUGACGUUACCCGCAGAAGAAGCACCGGCUAACUCCGUGCCAGCAGCCGCGGUAAUACGGAGGGUGCAAGCGUUAAUCGGAAUUACUGGGCGUAAAGCGCACGCAGGCGGUCUGUCAAGUCGGAUGUGAAAUCCCCGGGCUCAACCUGGGAACUGCAUUCGAAACUGGCAGGCUAGAGUCUUGUAGAGGGGGGUAGAAUUCCAGGUGUAGCGGUGAAAUGCGUAGAGAUCUGGAGGAAUACCGGUGGCGAAGGCGGCCCCCUGGACAAAGACUGACGCUCAGGUGCGAAAGCGUGGGGAGCAAACAGGAUUAGAUACCCUGGUAGUCCACGCCGUAAACGAUGUCGAUUUGGAGGUUGUGCCCUUGAGGCGUGGCUUCCGGAGCUAACGCGUUAAAUCGACCGCCUGGGGAGUACGGCCGCAAGGUUAAAACUCAAAUGAAUUGACGGGGGCCCGCACAAGCGGUGGAGCAUGUGGUUUAAUUCGAUGCAACGCGAAGAACCUUACCUGGUCUUGACAUCCACAGAACUUWSCAGAGAUGGWUUGGUGCCUUCGGGAACUGUGAGACAGGUGCUGCAUGGCUGUCGUCAGCUCGUGUUGUGAAAUGUUGGGUUAAGUCCCGCAACGAGCGCAACCCUUAUCCUUUGUUGCCAGCGGUUAGGCCGGGAACUCAAAGGAGACUGCCAGUGAUAAACUGGAGGAAGGUGGGGAUGACGUCAAGUCAUCAUGGCCCUUACGACCAGGGCUACACACGUGCUACAAUGGCAUAUACAAAGAGAAGCGACCUCGCGAGAGCAAGCGGACCUCAUAAAGUAUGUCGUAGUCCGGAUUGGAGUCUGCAACUCGACUCCAUGAAGUCGGAAUCGCUAGUAAUCGUAGAUCAGAAUGCUACGGUGAAUACGUUCCCGGGCCUUGUACACACCGCCCGUCACACCAUGGGAGUGGGUUGCAAAAGAAGUAGGUAGCUUAACCUUCGGGAGGGCGCUACCACUUGUA
RNAcentral lists this ribosomal RNA (1432 nucleotides) under Klebsiella pneumoniae. RNAcentral's name for it is "bacterial SSU rRNA". The record is from RNAcentral. Lineage: Bacteria; Pseudomonadati; Pseudomonadota; Gammaproteobacteria; Enterobacterales; Enterobacteriaceae.